CGGGUGAGUAACUACUGUGAGCUAUCUGCCCUGACUCUGGGAUAAGCGCUGGAAACGGCGUCUAAUACUGGAUACGAGCUGCGAAGGCAUCUUCAGCAGCUGGAAAGAACUUCGGUCAGGGAUGAGCUCGCGGCUAUCAGCUUGUUGGUGAGGUAACGGUCACCAAGGCGUCGACGGGUAGCCGGCCUGAGAGGGUGACCGGCAACUGGGACUGAGACACGGCCAGACUCCUACGGGAGGCACACGGGGAAUAUUGCCCAAUGGGCGAAAGCCUCGAUGCAGCAACGCCGCGUGAGGGACGACGGCCUCCGGGUAGUAAACCUCUUUACCCACGGGCAGAACCGCAAAGUCGACGGAACCUCGCAAAAACAGCGCCGGGCUAAACAUACCGNUGACAAGCACCAGGCACNGGCGGGUGAAAUAAACGUCAGGGGCAGCCAACAGACGUCGACAUCCCGGGGAAAUCUCAUACGGGGCCUCAAAACGAANGCCUCCGUAAGUCGCCGGCAAACGGAUCNCAGCACGGUCCAGCNAGNUGGACANCAAACCCCCGAGAGAGGCGCGUCCCCAACCCCCCCNGAGCGCCCCUGCACCGUACGG
RNAcentral lists this ribosomal RNA (600 nucleotides) under uncultured bacterium. RNAcentral's name for it is "bacterial SSU rRNA". The stretch from base 1 to 414 matches the Rfam family "Bacterial small subunit ribosomal RNA", at positions 103 to 540 of the family's 1533-position model. The record is from RNAcentral.